GUGCUCACCACAGCUCUAGUCACAGCCAAGGUAUGGAACACCAAGUGUCAUGCUCCAGGCAAGUGCAUAAGAAAAUGUGUUGUGUAUGUACAGCAGCACCAUCCAGCCUCGGAAAGGAAGGAAAUCCGUCAUUUGUCACAGCAUGGAUGAACCUGGAGGACAUCAUGUCAUCUGAAAUAAGCCAGAAAAUCAAGAAUUGCAUGACCUCACUAACAAAUUUAGAGAAACCAAAAAGAAGAGCAGUUACAAGAAGCUAUUAUGGUGGGUGUGGGAGAGAUGUUGUCCUGAG
RNAcentral lists this long non-coding RNA (289 nucleotides) under Marmota monax (woodchuck). The record is from RNAcentral. Lineage: Eukaryota; Metazoa; Chordata; Mammalia; Rodentia; Sciuridae.